This is a long non-coding RNA of Cryptomeria japonica (Japanese cedar), 2165 nucleotides long. RefSeq lists it as uncharacterized. NCBI's taxonomy places the organism in Eukaryota, Viridiplantae, Streptophyta, Pinopsida, Cupressales, Cupressaceae. The transcript is spliced from 8 exons. The record is from RefSeq and is a predicted model, not a curated record.
CAUCAUGUGAUGCUUAUGAUACAUAUGUAUUUAUUGUUUAUCAACUUACAAAUGUAAUGCUUAUGAUGCUCAAUUAAUGGUGUUGAUUUCAUGUAUAGUCCCUGUGUGAUGUUGUCACCCUUGGUCGGAACAGGUCGUUGACUAUAGACACCGUAAACCAUUUAGUUGAGGAUCCUGCAUAGUCUACAUAAAGUAAAGGAACCUGAACCCCUUUGACGAGGAUCCUGCACAGUCUCAUGGAUGGAUAGGGCGAUAUGGAUCCAUCACAUAGCGCAGAUAGGGAUGUAGGUUGCGACACUUCUAUCGAGCAGACAUAUGUUUGGGGAAAGGGAAAGGGAGCUGGAGUACCUGAGCACCUCUCUAGGGAUGUGGACUCAACAAGAUUAAGCGAUGAUGACCUUGAAAAUUCCACACACCCUAUGGAAUUCAUAAAAAAAGACUUAGAAAAAUUAGUAAAGAGAUUGUUGCUUUGGCAUCCAUGUAUCCUAUGAUUGAUAAGAUACGAGAGAGGGUGCAAGUAUUGAUUCAGACAGCAGAAAACUUGCAACAAUUUCUGCGCCCUCAUGAAAAUGGUGACCAUGAUCAGGGUAUUGCAGGUACUUCAGGUGUUGUCAAUGUUCCUGUGCAAAUGUCAUCGCUGCGUCAUCAGAGGUAGCCCCACAUGUAUUGCCGACUGUAAUGUCGGCAAUACGUAGCAUGCAGACAUCUUCUACUGCAUGUCAUAUUGGCCUGCCCACUGUUGCAGGAGAUGCACAUGAGGAUGCACCAAAGGUGACUAUUACUGAUAACAUACCAUCAUUUCCUGGAUCUUCUUGUAUUGCUAAUACGGGAACGUUGCAGGCCACAUUGGUGGUGAGCGAUCAAGAAAUGAUUCCCUUAAAGAUACAGAAGGUUCCAGGAAAAUGAUAUUUUCUAUAAACAUCUUAGUGACAUUGCAUUGCAUAUAUUUGGGCCCACCAUAUGUAAAAAGUGGUACAUCAUAUGUGAACUAACCCUAAUCCACUAUUUUGAUUUCAUAUCAUUGCUAAAAGAGUUUUCCUUUGAUCCAUUUCUUGAACUAUAAUAAAUGUAGCUUCAGUUCAUUUAUGAAUCUAACAGGUUUGUUUUUGCUUUAAAAGGUGGAAUAACCAAGAAAAAAGGUUAAAAGAUGAAUUGACAAACCAAAUGGUUGAGUGGUUUGGAAAUUACACCUUUGACAAAACCAAGCUCCUUGAAAAAGCUGACACAUAUCUAAAGUAUGUGAGGGACCAAUACAAGACCCAUUUAGAGAAGAACCUAAAGUACGAGUGUCCCCCUAUGAUUCCAAAGAGGGAGUGGAAGGACCUGAUUUUGGAUGCCAAGGAGAGAAUUUAAAGUAAAAAAAGAAAUACACCACCAGACGCCAAAAGAAGACACGUGAUACUAUUAUGAAUGUAAUUAUGUACUAAUUAAUUACUUUGUAUAUUUAUAUAAUCUAACAUAUUUCAAACUUUUUAUAGACUGAGUGACACGUCAAAGGCAACCAAGGCAAGACAAGAAAAGAACGUGCAACACAAACUCGACUCUGGUGGUUAUAUGAAACUUGUUACACGGGUUGUAAGUAUCUCAUGUAAAUGAAAUAUUGCAUCAAAAUAUUAAUAAAUUUCAAAUGAUUUUUUUUUUAAUCAAACAAUGCAAGCAAAAUAAAGGAUACCAAGCAAAAAUGUAGGGCUCUGAAUUCAAUAGAGCGCCCACAGAAGAUGACAAGAGAAUUGCCUACUAGCAAGGCUAUACACUCGUGGUUGAUCGACUACAAGAAUUGAGUGGGCAUACACAAUAUUUGAGUGCAUCAGUCAUAUAGGUAAAUAUGCUAAAUGGAAAUUAUUUCAAAUUGAAUACUUAACCAAUAAUCUAAUUUGUGUUGAGUUCCAACAUAAAGUGACUAUAUUUGUUUUAAAUAAGCAAGCAAUGAUAACAAUGUGCAUGACAGUGGAAUACAGCCUGCUAAUCAUGAAACACCACCUGCACAUGAAGGUUCAGAUGUGCAUCCCAGUAGUGGAAGUAUUCAUUUGCUAUUCAAAUUUAAUUAUGUAGUUAUUAAUGUUGGUAAAUGCACACUCCAAUGAGAAAUUGUAGGUGAUUGAAGGUUUUGUCAUUGAUGACAACCUUGCAAUCAUAUGAUACCGGCAAGACAGAAUACUGACACC